CUCCGAGAACUGAAAGGCUUUUUGAAGUCUUCGGAUGGAUAGAAGAACCCCUGAUGCCGUCGAGCCAAGAAAAGUUUCUAAGUUUAGCUAAUGUUGCCCGUACCGUAAACCGACACAGGUGGGUGGGAUGAGUAUUCUAAGGCGCGUGGAAGAACUCUCUUUAAGGAACUCUGCAAAAUAGCACCGUAUCUUCGGUAUAAGGUGUGGUUCGCUUCGUAUUAGGAUUUACUCCGAAAGCGAAGAAACUUACAACAAAGAGUCCCUCCCGACUGUUUACCAAAAACACAGCACUCUGCUAACUCGUAAGAGGAUGUAUAGGGUGUGACGCCUGCCCGGUGCUCGAAGGUUAAUUGAUGGGGUUAGCAUUAGCGAAGCUCUUGAUCGAAGCCCGAGUAAACGGCGGCCGUAACUAUAACGGUCCUAAGGUAGCGAAAUUCCUUGUCGGUUAAAUACCGACCUGCAUGAAUGGCGUAACGAGAUGGGAGCUGUCUCAAAGAGGGAUCCAGUGAAAUUGUAGUGGAGGUGAAAAUUCCUCCUACCCGCGGCAAGACGGAAAGACCCCGUGGACCUUUACUACAGCUUGACACUGCUAUUUGGAUAAGAAUGUGCAGGAUAGGUGGGAGGCUUUGAGUAUAUGACGCCAGUUGUAUAUGAGCCAUUGUUGAGAUACCACUCUUUCUUAUUUGGGUAGCUAACCAGCUUGAGUUAUCCUCAAGUGGGACAAUGUCUGGUGGGUAGUUUGACUGGGGCGGUCGCCUCCCAAAUAAUAACGGAGGCUUACAAAGGUUGGCUCAGAACGGUUGGAAAUCGUUCGUAGAGUAUAAAGGUAUAAGCCAGCUUAACUGCAAGACAUACAAGUCAAGCAGAGACGAAAGUCGGUCUUAGUGAUCCGGUGGUUCUGUGUGGAAGGGCCAUCGCUCAAAGGAUAAAAGGUACCCCGGGGAUAACAGGCUGAUCUCCCCCAAGAGCUCACAUCGACGGGGAGGUUUGGCACCUCGAUGUCGGCUCAUCGCAUCCUGGGGCUGGAGCAGGUCCCAAGGGUAUGGCUGUUCGCCAUUUAAAGCGGUACGCGAGCUGGGUUCAGAACGUCGUGAGACAGUUCGGUCCCUAUCUGCCGUGGGCGUAAGAAGAUUGAAGAGAUUUGACCCUAGUACGAGAGGACCGGGUUGAACAAACCACUGGUGUAGCUGUUGUUCUGCCAAGAGCAUCGCAGCGUAGCUAAGUUUGGAAAGGAUAAACGCUGAAAGCAUCUAAGCGUGAAGCCAACUCUAAGAUGAAUCUUCUCUAAGCUCUCUAGAAGACUACUAGUUUGAUAGGCUGGGUGUGUAAUGGAUGAAAGUCCUUUAGCUGACCAGUACUAAUAGAGCGUUUGGCUUAUCUUUAAUAAAGCAU
RNAcentral lists this ribosomal RNA (1392 nucleotides) under Campylobacter coli. Its description in RNAcentral is "partial 23S ribosomal RNA". It matches the Rfam family "Bacterial large subunit ribosomal RNA", at positions 1545 to 2925 of the family's 2925-position model. Lineage: Bacteria; Pseudomonadati; Campylobacterota; Epsilonproteobacteria; Campylobacterales; Campylobacteraceae. The record is from RNAcentral.